This 1410-nucleotide long non-coding RNA is filed under the name Ananas comosus (pineapple). Its description in RNAcentral is "long non-coding RNA (ACOM_LNC010118)". The record is from RNAcentral. Lineage: Eukaryota; Viridiplantae; Streptophyta; Magnoliopsida; Poales; Bromeliaceae.
AUGUUAGUCCAACAGAUACAUAUAUAUAUAACAUCGUGCAAUACAUGUUCAUGCCUCACAAAUAUGCAAAUUAUGCAACUCUUAGUCAUUCUUUACCAUUAGCCUUUCUUUAGAAUAUGCAAUUCUUUAUCAUUAGCCAUUCUUUAUUCUUUAAUCUUUAUUCUUCAUUCUUUAUUCUUUAUGCUUUAUUCUUUGUUCUUUAUCCUUUACUAAGGGCACUCGCGCCUUAGGCUCAUCAUACACAUUUGCCAUUCUUUAUAACAUUAACACGUCUUUCUCAAUUAUCACUCUUUCCUAAGGUUACAUUUACCUUAGCCAACUUUGCCACUCGACUCGGUCUUGAGUCAAUUCAUAAUGAAUACAAGAUCAACUUUCCAAUUCAUGAUCCCUUUUUGUUCUUUGUUCUUUAAUCUCACGGCUAACCCGGGGGUUUCGCCACAUUAACUUGCUUCACAUUAAGUCCAUCAUCGCAGGAACUCACCAGCUAGGACCGUCCUUACGGGUCUACUCCAACCCGGAUGCCAAACUCCGGAGCGCAUCGCCCGAGGGGGAGCGACCGCCCUCGAGCACGGAACUCAUAGCAAGUAUGAUCAAUCCUUAACUCUAAGGAUAUGUAGUUGGAUCAUGAUUUUACACUAACUCUAGUGUUCUUUACAUCACUUUAUGUUGCCACUCUAGCAAUCAUUGUUCUUUACAUCUCUUUUACUUUUGCUAACUCUAGCAAUCACGUUUUUCACAUUCCUUUACUUUAAGCUAUCUUUAGCUUUCACAUUCUUUAACUUUACACGUUCUUUAUACCACAUUACAUUACAUUAUCUUUAGCCAUUAUCAUUAUUCUUUACAUCACAUUGCUUUGCCUUGUCUCAAGCCAUUAUCAUUAGGUUCUCACAUUACAUCUCAUGCAUACACAUAGAUUAUUUAGAUUCUUAAUCAUUCUAAUAAGCACGUGUACUCACAUCAUGCAACAUCACAUUAUUAUCAUCACAUUGUUUUACAUUAUCUUUAGCCAUUAUCAUUAUUCUUUACAUCACAUUUAUUCUUUGAUGUCCCACACUAACUCUAGUGUCCACUUUACCAUUUCGAAUGCCACUCGAUCUAUGUUCAACAUGCAUGUAUUUUGUCAUCCAUUGGUAGUCAUUACUUAGCAUUUUAUGCAUUCGUUAACUGUGACACCCCAAUAGUCCCACAUCGGAUGGGACACUAGUAAUAAUAACUGGGCUUAAGCAUUUUGGGCCGGUGGUUGGGCCCAACGAGUUAUUGUUGCUAGUGGGCUGGGUCGUUACAUUUGGUAUCAGAGUCGGUUCACCAGCUGGACAUGUGUGGCGAGUCUCGGCUGAGCCAAGGACUGGAUGACGGGCUAGCGAGACGAGUCUCACAUCGCCUGGUGAUCUUGGGCUGUGUGUGUGCUUG